UACCUUUGCGAAGCAUUUGGUUUCUGUAUCCUUUGAUACAGAAUUAAAAGGGAAUCCGGUGAAAAUCCAGAACUGUCCCGCAGCUGUAAGCUUCAUUAACCAAAAGCCCAUUCAACAUUACCACUAUUCCGAAACUCGGAACGGGAAGGUAGGGCUCGAGGGAAGUAAGUCAGAAGACCUGCCAUUGCAUUUUGAUAUUC
RNAcentral lists this non-coding RNA (200 nucleotides) under Pseudopedobacter saltans. Lineage: Bacteria; Pseudomonadati; Bacteroidota; Sphingobacteriia; Sphingobacteriales; Sphingobacteriaceae. The record is from RNAcentral.